RNAcentral lists this ribosomal RNA (255 nucleotides) under uncultured bacterium. RNAcentral's name for it is "partial 16S ribosomal RNA". It matches the Rfam family "Bacterial small subunit ribosomal RNA", at positions 524 to 776 of the family's 1533-position model. The record is from RNAcentral.
UACAGAGGGUGCAAGCGUUGUUCGGAAUUAUUGGGCGUAAAGAGCUCGUAGGCGGUUUGUCGCGUCUGCCGUGAAAGUCCGGGGCUCAACUCCGGAUCUGCGGUGGGUACGGGCAGACUAGAGUGAUGUAGGGGAGACUGGAAUUCCUGGUGUAGCGGUGAAAUGCGCAGAUAUCAGGAGGAACACCGAUGGCGAAGGCAGGUCUCUGGGCAUUAACUGACGCUGAGGAGCGAAAAGCAUGGGGGAGCGAACAGG